RNA transcript from Folsomia candida, 8570 nucleotides. RefSeq lists it as uncharacterized. The record is from RefSeq and is a predicted model, not a curated record. Lineage: Eukaryota; Metazoa; Arthropoda; Collembola; Entomobryomorpha; Isotomidae. The transcript is spliced from 3 exons.
CAAAUUUUCGGCGGCGGCGGCGCUAGUUUUUGGUGAUUUUUCGGAGGCGUCGACCUCUGGUGUGUACUUACGUCAUUUGUUGGAUUACCAAAGUCCUUGAAGUGUUUAGAUGGGGGCUUAACAUUAUUAGCUCACCCUGCGCAGCAUGAGAGCUAUUGAAUUCCUCUUGUCCGUCUGUCCGUCUGUCUGUCUGUCUGUCUGUCUGUUCACGAGUUUUUUGUAUCAAUUGAUGCUAAUUAAUAAGUCCCAACACCAUUUUAACUCAAAUUAGUAGCACAAUUGGUAUGCAAUAAUCUAUGUCAAAAUUGGGUAACAAUUUUUUCCGCUUACUUUCCACCAUUGCACAGUGGGCCAGGGACCCCAAAAUAUGGCCGUUAAGGCAGUACCAUUAUUUGGCUUUACAAGUAUGGCAUCCUACUCUUUGUGACCAACUUGACCUUGGUCUAAAAUAUUAAGGCACAUAUUAAAGCCAAUCGGAUAAACGAAGCAGUUAAAGUAUGCCUAAUACAUUACGGAGAUAGGGAUUUUACAUCUUUCAACAUUCCCGCCCAUUCCCGUGCAUCUAUGACUAACUACUGGCGUCAUUAAUUAGAUAAUAUUGGUGGGAUCAUACACUGCUGCGACCAGCUGCGACCAUGAGGUACCCUUACCACCACACCCAUUCUCAGUUAAAGAAAUAGAUAAAAUAUGUUCGAAUUGAAUUGAAUUUAUCAAACUUCUGAUCCCUUAGCCGUUAUUAACUAUUGAUGGAAUUACUUACUAAAAAAUAACUCGACACGAAGGUCACACCCCAGGUCCCAGGUCUCCCCAUGUCACACCCCAAUAGUGGGUGUGGUUCUCAGAAAUUACUCGGUAUUACCUAAAACAUGGCUUGUAAGGUAUCAUUUUCUCAGGUAAAUGAGAAGAUCCCGAUUUAAUAAUUAAAAAUAGUAAGCCACACCCCCAGUGGGUGUGGUGCCCAGCAACUUUUCAAUGUUAAUAAAACCAAGGUGUGUGACAUUUUUCAAUUUUUCUAUUUUCUCAACUCAAUGAGCUGAUCUCGACCGAAUAACUAAAAUUUAUAUACCACACCCACGGUGGGUGUGGCUGACUUUAAGAAAACAGUGUUAAUCAGUAUGUCGUUCCACAUAAUCUAGUCUUAAAUCACUAAUUUUCAAAAUCAGAAUUAUGUAUGAUCACCAUUGGUAAUGCAUAAUUUCACAUUUCACAUUUUGACCAUCAUAAUUGACUUGUUACUAAGAUCAUAAAAUUAAAAUAUGCGAACAUUUUCAUGGUCUUUAAAAUGAUAUUGUCGCAAGUUAUUUCAAAAUUUCGAGCCCAUCGAUAGGUGCAAGUAACGCUGGAAUGUUAACAAUAUGACGAGGAGGUAACCAUAAAAUUUGUGGGCGCAGCCGGAAUUGGGUCAAAAUUUGUGCCGUCCUUUGUCAACACAGUUCUAGCAAUUAGUUAACCAAAAAAUAUGAUAUCGACUCUCUAAUCAAGUUGUCCUUCAUACAAAGUAUAGAAUCGAAUCACAUGCUAAAGUCAAACGGAUAAACAAUGGGGCAACAUAAUUUCGUAUGCAUCCAACCCCACCUAUUGGCGCCACUCAUAACAAAAAGCAUUGCAUAAAACAGUAUAUAGUAUACAUGUAACCAGCUGCUAGCAGUUCAACAAUUGCUAUCGCACCCGGUGUUUGUCGAAAUAAUAACAAAAAUAUUGUAUCACUAAAAUUAACUUUGUUAAGCUUCUGUCCUCCUAAACGAGUCUAACAGAUAGGAUCCGAAUUAUAUAUAGCUAAGCAGUACAAGACUUGUGUAGGUAAGUCAAUUUUAAAUACCAAAAACCUAGGUAAUCAUUUGUUUAAUCUGUUUGACUUUAACUAUACUUUAAUUAAUUACAUACAUAAUUAAUUAAUCAAUUAAUCAAUUAUGUAAUUAAUUAAUUAAGAUCUAAGCUCAAGUAUUUCUUAUUUUGUCUACAAGUGUUGUCUCCUCUUUUAUCCAACGAGAUGAUAAUAAUGUGGUUAUGUUUGUCUAUUAGAUAAUGGAUGGACUUCAACAAUCAUCAUUUUUAAAGAAGCGAGAUGUAGUGGAUCAGUUUACGUCGGAUGAAAAUACUACAAAUAUUGAAAAUGCAGUUUCUUUUAUUUUAUCUAAAUUGAGCAUCGAAGUAUUUGACAUUAGGAAUAGUAGCCUUGAGGAACUUCGGCGAAGUGUGACAAAUCUACAAUACAGAUAUGAUGAAAGAUGGAAGGCUGCAAGUCGUAAUUUGAAAGCAGAAACGCUGAUUGGCUGGAGUCUGAGUUCAAGCUGCCAGAUUUGUCGAUGGAAGCUCCAGGAGGGAGGGCUACCACAAAUCUGCCGAGGAAGACCAAAUUUACCAUUUAAUCAACAAUCUGCAAGGACUCAGAGAAGGGCAGCUGCUGACCUCAGUUCAGCAGAAGGAAAUAAUCCAAAUAAAAUAUUGAGAGCUGCGCAAAUUGCUGCCAAACGGAGUGGAAAGAAGGACUUGGCUGUUAUUAUCAGUGAAACAUUAAGGAGUCCGGCCCGCCCGUCCAAGAUUCGAAGAAAACUAUUCUCAAAUCCAGUUGAAAUGGCUAAAUUCAGCCCAGAAGAAGCUCUCUCCCUAAUUUUGGACUUAUCCCUCUCCAAAGAACAGUAUACUGUUAUCAGGAACAGUGCCAAACUAAAAGGAGCAGAUAUCUACCCUAGUUAUAAUCAGGUCAGAAAUGCAAAGGGAAAUUGCAGACCGGAUAGUGAUUCAAUUCAAGUGACCGAAACCAUGGCACAAGUAUCCCUCCAGGGCGUUCUGAACCAUACAGCGAAGAGAAUUGUCCACUUGCAACGAGAAUGCAUUAUUGCAGAUAUGGGCGGAGAAUUUACAAGAACGUUGGAAGCUAAUUUAGUAUGUUCAUGGGGAUUUGACGGCAGCUCAGGUCAUUCAGAUUAUGCCCAGAAAUUCAUCUCUGCCGGAUCACAAGGUUGUCAUGACAACAACCUAUUUGCCACUACUUUAAUUCCCCUACGUCUAAUAUCUCCAUCUGGCACAAUUCUGUGGAACAACAGAACCCCGCAAUCAGUUCGUUUUUGCAGACCAAUAAACUUCAAUAUAUAAAAGAGUCGGAAACUUUGGUGAGAACGGAAAAGGCAUCAAUGGAUUCUCAAAUUUCAAAUUUACAAACCACUGAAAUUCUGCUGCAAGACGAUACAACCUUGAUCGUUCACUUCUCGCUCUUCAUGACUUUGAUUGAUGGAAAAGUACUCAAUUAUAUCACGGGAACCAAGUCUAUGCAAACUUGCCCAUUAUGCAGAGCUACUCCAAAAUUGUUCAAUGAUCUUAGCAACAUUGGGAAAGAUGUGUUUGAACCUGAACCAGAGUCAUUGCAGUACGGAAACAUCCCCCUACACGCUUGGAUUCGACUCUUUGAAUGUUUAUUGCACAUUUCCUACAAGAUCAACCACAGGAAAUGGCAAGCCCGAACGACGCAUGAAAAGUUAGAAGUGCAAAGCAGGAAGAAAGAGGUCCAAACCUAAUUUUAAAAAAGCUGGGGUUAAACGUUGACCUACCUAAACCUGGUGGAAGCGGAACAACUAAUGAUGGAAAUACAGCUCGGCGGGCUUUCGAGGAUGCUGAAGUACUUGCAAAUAUACUUCGCAUCGAUACUCAACUAAUCAAGAAUUUCCAUAUUAUUCUUAUUGCCUUAUCGUGUCAGUUUCCACUUGACCCUGUCAAGUUCGGAAAUUUAGCCAGGACAACAGCUCAACUGUACGUUGAAAUCUACCCAUGGUAUCCCAUGCCAGCUACUGUUCACAACAUUCUAAUUCAUGGACCUCAGGUAAUUCUCAAUAGUUUGUUACCUGUUGGAAUGUUAGGAGAGGAUGCAGCUGAGUCCCGAAAUAAGUACUACAAGACGUUCCGGCUCUCACAUUCACGGAAAUUUAGUAGAGCAGCUAAUCUCAAUGACGUUUUCAUGCGAUCCAUGGAUACUUCAGACCCCAUUAUUUCCAGCUUGAGCCUCAACUCAAGGAUAUGCAAAAGAAAACGUUUGGCGAUCCCAAAAGAGGUUGUGGAUUUACCAGCCGGCCAUGAACGGCGUUUCUGAUGUUGUUAUGCAUUUAGAUGAGCUCGAGUUAUCUGAUGAUGAAAUUGAGUGACCAAUUCAUUACUUUUCAUCGAAAAUACAUUUGGUAAAUAAAAAAUAUAAAACUAUGUAUGUCUAUCUUAAUAACUCAUUAGCUAUGUUAGUAAGUUGUCUGUUACACAAUAUUUCAUUUUUCAAGAUCCCUGCUACACAAAUAUAAUUAUACGCAAUGAGUGUAAGAUGUUUCUAUUGUUUUAUUUAUUGUAUUUAACGUAGCCAUAUCUUUAUAUUUAAUUUGGUUUCAUACACUUGCACUUCUCUAGCCCAUAUAAUUUUAAGGGUAAUCCCUGAUAAAGCAUGCUAACUUUGCGCAGCAUUAUGGGCCAUAAAUUAAAGCACGACUUGUUUUUCUAUUAUCAAUUGUUUGUCUGAGUACAUUGGCAUUAUUAAUGGUACCGCUUUCAGGCUUGGGCAGGAUACUUUUUUUAAGAUACAAGAUACAAGAUAAAGAUAUUUUUGAAAAAAAUCCAAGAUACUAGAUAAAGAUACUUUAUUCCCUGCUUUUGCUACAGAUACUUAGAUACUAAGUAAAAGAUACUUUUUAGUAUUUGUUAAGAUACAAGAUACAAGAUAAGAUAAAGUAUCUUAAAUAUUCCACAAGAUACAAGAUACUUUUGAUUUUUUUUUUAAUUUAAAAAAGAUAUGUAAAAUUUCAUAUUUUUUGCCAUUUAGGCAUCGCCAGUAAAAUGAAAGUCUUACUAUUGAGUAGUUAGACAUUUAAAAACACCUUUCACUAGCAAAAAUAACACUCAUAUUUUCUUACAAAUUACAAUUACUACCUCAUAAAUCAUAAGAAAAUCGAACUUUAGAUGUCGCGAGAAGCAUAUUUUGCAAAAAGUAUCUUGUAUCUUAAAAAGUAGCUUAGAUACUUUCCUCUUGAUGGAAAAUAUCAGAUACAAGAUACAAAUACAAGAUACUCAUUGAGGAUUUUCCAGAUACAAGAUACAAGAUACUUUGAGCUGGGGCGGCUGGAAGAUACAAGAUACGAGUAGUAUCUUGUAUCUUGUAUCUAGUAUCUUGUAUCUUAAAGUAUCUAUCUUGCCCAAGCCUGACCGCUUUCAGAAAUCACUAACCAAGUUUUGUAACCUAAAUUGAGGUUCGGAAGGCUAAUUUAUUUAUUUCAGCCUUAAUUGUAUUUUUGGCUAAAAAUUUUGAUACCUGGCCAACUGAACCUUUUGUUAAGUCGAAAAGGCGCCGACAACCACCCCGAUUUUGGGUGUGGUUUAUCAGUUUUAGUUAUUCGGUCCAGAUCCGCUCAUCGAGCUGAGAAAUAUGACGGUUUUGAUUGCGUGUUCAACUCAAAUUUGAAUUAGUAAAAAAGUUUUCUUUUAUAAUUUUAAGGCUAUAUCAAAAACGAUGGAAAGAAAACAUUCUCAAAAAUUACUAAAAAUAAAAUUACUAAAAAUGUAUAGCUUUGUAUGCUAUUUCGUAAUUUUGAAAAAUUUAGCAAUAAAUUGUGAAAAAGUACAAUUUUUCAAAGUAGGUUUUUCUUAAUUUACGUAAUGCGAUUCACAUAUUUUGUCGAAAUCCCCUCGCUUAGUUUGGAGAAAUGACGUAUUACAUGACAUAACAUUGUUUAGUUAAAAUCGAAAAGUUGCUGAACGCUGAUUUUAUGCAUUCCGUUGAAACCCCCUGUUGAGCUGAGAAAAAUGAUACAACAUAUGGCAUGGUUUGAAUAAAAUCGAAAAUUUUCUGGAAACCACACCAACUGGGGGUGCGGUUUAUAAAUUUUAAUUAUUCUGUCGAGUUGCCCUCGCUGAGCUGAGAAACAUGACAUAACACAUGGCAUGGUUUUAUUAAAAUCCAAAGUUUUCUGAGAACCACGCCCACUGGGGGGUGCGGUUUCCUAAUUUUGGGUAUUCCGUCGAGUCCCCCUUGUCGAGCUGAGAAAAAUCAUAUAUCACAUGAUAUGCUUUCGCAAAGAUCGACAAUUUUCUUAGAACCACGCCCACUGGGGGUGCGGUUUCCCAAGUCUAGGUGUUUCAUGGAAACCACCUCGUCGAGCUGAGAAAAAUGAUAUAUCACAUGCCAUGGUUUCGUUAAAACCGAAAAGUCGCAAAGGGUCACACCCACUAUGGGUGUGGCAUGUGACUAUUAAAAAUUUCCUCAUAUAACAUAUGCCUUAGGUUAUUGUUGUGCAUCAAAAUCUAAUGCUUGUUUCAUCAAAUUCGGCUCCUAUAUAUUUAUGGCCAAAAUUUAUUAAAUCUGGCCCACUGUGCAGGGUUUUAAUCAGAAAAAGCCAACCUGGGGGUUUAAUGGUUUUAAUGGGUUUUGCUGGACAUUGUGGGGUUUUGGUAAUAGUUUCAAAAAAUUUCCCAAGGAUUACAAAAGCAGUUCCAAGUUAUGUAUACAUUAUCCUAGUCCAUAUUACGAUUGUGGUAUGUAUGCAUUUUCGAUUUACAUUAUGUAUGUAUGACAGUAUUAAAGAAAUAAAUUUUAUAUCAGCAUCGAUAUAAGUUUGGCUUGCGUAUGAGAGAUACUCUUAACUUUGGAAAGUAUUUAGUUUAAGGUGAGGUUGCGAUUAGUUACGAAUUUUAAUGAGCUAUUGAAAAAUGCCGGAUUUUUAUGUUUACCAAAAUGUUUCUGAAAAAUUGCAACACGUCGAUUUGUCCGAUCUGUGAUUUAAGCACCUUGUAUCAUAAAAAAUUUCGGAACAUCGUUUCUGAUAGACAAUUGCAUGGGGGAUUCAAUAAAAAAUAGUACAGCUGGCUAACGUAACUGCUACUGAUGUUUUUGGCACGCGGAAUGCGUGAGACAUAAUAUAUGGCAGCAGUAGGUAGGUGAUGACCACUAAUAAACCCAAAUAAAUCUCAUUGUCAGUUAGUAUGGCAAAUUGCAUAGGGUCCGUUCUUAAAUUGAUUUUCUCGACCCCCCCCCCCCACACCUUUUAACAUGACGUACAUACAUAGGCACGAUAUCAUUGGGGCCUAAACCCCCUCCCCCCUUCAAGCGUUACGUAAUUUAAGAACAGGAGUUUUAUUUAUUUUAACCUAUUGAAACUAAUUAAAACCCAAAAGUCAACCCCAAUAAAACCCUGUCUCAGACAGGCUGUCUGAAUACCCAGAUUUUAAUAAUGCAAGUUGUAAUUGGUAUAUGCCUUUGUUCAAUUUUUUAAAACUUGUUAAAGUACUUCUAAAUUGGGUUGACGUGUGAAGAUAUGUAUUUAUAUUUUAUGGGCAAGUUUAAACUUUGACUUUCAGUUUUUCAGACCUGUUUUUAGGAAAUAAACUAAUUUUUUAAAACAAACCCGAGUAGUGCUCCGCAUCAGUUACAAUCCGGUUCCCGAGCUUGAUUCCAGCCCCAAUAUAUUGGGCUUUGGCUCUGACCCAACCAGAAUGAAUCUGGCUCCGUCUAAAUGCAGAUUCAUGCCAUGUACUAAAACGUAGCAUUCCGAUUCCUGUGUAACAUGCAUAAUUAAAGAACCAGCGUCCAUCAUGCGUCAAAAUACUUUUUGCCCUUGUGUAAGUCACGAUUUAUUGUGCGAUAUUUAACCAAACAUAUGUUCCCAAGCUUCAGGUUAAAUGCGGAUAAGCCAUUUAUUCAAGGGUUUUAUGAGUUUGACGUAAUGUUCUUCGGCAGCCGUGAAGAUUAUCCAAACUUAAAGCAUAUGUACAUAUUUAUGUAGCUUAAUCACUUGAAUUUGCUUACGCCGUAAAGUUCUUUUUAUUACGGGCUAAGACUGCGCACAUGUUGACAAAUAUGUAGGCUAACAACCCAAUGGGUAUUUGAUAAUACUUUUCGACAACAGCACAGGUUAUCACAGCUUCAACCGUAGCUUAAUCCACUUGGAUUUAUUUGUUUAAUAAACUCUUUACUACGGUCCAAGAUCCCCCACCAGUUGGCAAGUAGAUAAUUUGAUAAUUCAAUGGUUAUUUGGUAAUUUUUUUCGGCAACAACACAGGUUAUCAAAACUUCGGGGAUUAUUUAAUUCCCUUGGAUUUACAUUCUCAGUAAAGUCUUUUUAUUACGGUUCAAUACAAGACUUCUCAGCUUUUGACAAGUAAGCUGAUAAUCCGGUGGGUCUUUAAUAAAACUUUCCGGCAACAGUACAGGUUAUCACUACUUCAACCAUAGUUUAAUCCACUUGAAUUUAGCUUGAUCAGUAAAAUCUUGUUUAUUACCGUCAAGAUUUCCCACCUGUUGGUAAGUAAGCUGAUAAUCCAAUGGUUAUUUGGUGAAAAGUAUAUAUAUACUUAGGCUGACACACUGCCGGUAUCACAGUUGGUCAUUGUAACUUUGACUUGACAGCCUUACAUAAGCACAUUAAAUUUAAAACGUUAUGGAUACCUUUAAAUUUUUUCGAUUGAUGGCGACAUGUUUCUUGCUGGGGACAAUUUUGAAUUCGUGUAAAUCUACAGAGAUAGCAGAGAUGGAGUACCUUGGACACCACAAAGAAUUAUUCGGGGAGCAGGAAAAUUAUCGGCACUACUACGUCAGUGCAAGCGCG